This 2991-nucleotide long non-coding RNA is filed under the name Sorghum bicolor (sorghum). RNAcentral's name for it is "long non-coding RNA (SBIC_LNC003970)". The record is from RNAcentral. Lineage: Eukaryota; Viridiplantae; Streptophyta; Magnoliopsida; Poales; Poaceae.
UCAUGACUCCACACAAACUUAUAUAUUUUUCCUUUUUAUUUAAUUUAUAUAUAAGAAAAGUAUAACAAGGACUGAUGAUGAUCUCUCCAUUAUAAUAGAUAGAAACAUAUAUAUUCAGAAGCUAGCAUAAAGAAAAAGAAAAGAAAAGAUUCACAAGAAAAGUGUGAUUGAUUGACUGAUUGAUUGAUAAGCCCGGUUAUUAUUAUUUGGUACUAUUCUUAGAUAUUUUGCUUGCUGUUUUAGCUAAGUCCGGUACGGCUGGACAGGUCAGUAAUUUCACAUUACAGAUACCUAUCUUUGGAGCGCGCAGACACAUACGAUGGGCUGAGGGUCGCUGUUGCAUCGCAAGCCCAGUCUAGUCCAACACGUAAGUAUACGUACAUAUACAUGCUAUAUAUAAAAUAUAUAAAGCAUCUCUAUCUGUACGUGCACAGCCACUUUUCUUUAAUUUAAUUUAUUUAGAUUAGAUUCGAUUUUGGAUUUGGAUUAGCAAAAACUUAAACUAUAUAUAACAUAAAUAUAUGCGCUUAUGAGUCACGACUAACGACUUAUCUAAUAUGUAACCAUCCAACUUAUUAUUAAGAGAAUUUUCUAGACAUGUUCUCCCUAUCUCUAAAAAGAUGAACUUGAAACAUUUUGAGUUUGACCAUAGGAUUGUAUUCUUUUUGGCAUAAAUAAAGGUACUGAGUAUCAUCCUAUAUAUUCAAAAACAUGGCCAAAUUAUUAUGGUAUGCCCCAAUAUCGAAUAUAUCCAGCGUAGUUGGCAGGUUUCUUCUUGAACUAGGUUUAUUCAAAUCUUCGACUCGACAUAGGUGUCUGUAGUUUCUUUGAUUUAUCCUAAGUGUUAAUGACAUUAUUAUUCUUGUGGAGAUGCUCAUUAGGUAGGAUAAGUAUACAUGCAUAUAUAUAACCAUCUACAUAUGUACUCCCUCAUUCUAAUAAAUCAUAAGUCCUUCUAAAUUUUCUAGGUAUAUAUAUUUUGCUACCAGAACGACUUACAAUUUGGAAUGGAGAAAUUACGUGGUUCAGAAAAAAAACCCAACCAAACAGACGGUUACUAGUAGCUUAUUAUUGUUUAUAUUUUUUUGACAAAGAUUGUUUAUAUAUUUGGACUUGAAUUAGUCAUGUGUUCAUGAUCUUACCUCUCUAGCCUAGCUAGGGCCUAGGAGCAGGUAAAAGGGGAUAAAAAGCGGGAUUUUUUUUAUAUCUUUUUUCAAUAAAGCCGAGUAAGAGGGGGUUGCACCCCUCUUGUUUCUUAUUAAAAAAGGGUGCCCUUGGGUGUUGGAAAUGGGCUUAUCAAUCUUACAAGAAUAGCCACUUGAUUUGAAUUCAAAGGAAAGGAAGAAAAAGAGAAAAUAUCUUUUGUUCGAUCUUGUGGCAUGCAUGCACAGAUGCAUGGUGCAUGCGCAGUGUAGCCAAGUUGCAUUGCAUUGCAUGGCAUCGAUCUCUGAAUGCGAGAUGUAUAGUAGGUGUAUGUUCUGCAUCAUCUCCUUUUCAGCAUUGAAGAUGGUAUAAAUCAACGUCGCGUCUCUACAAUGAGGCGGCUGUCGCUGCCGCGUAUAUGCAUGGUUAGUUAGUUACGUACACGUAUGUACUUGAGAUGCGACAAAUCACAUGUCUUGUAUUUAGGCCCUGUUUAAAUGCACUGAUAGAUCCAGAAAUUUAUAAGAUUUCUCGUCACAUCGAAUCUUAUAGCACACAAAAUAUUAAAUAUAAAUUAAAAAAUAAUUAAUAUCACAGUUUAUCUGUAAAUAACGAGACGCGAAUCUUUUAAGCCUAUUUAGUUCAUGGUUGAAUAAUAUUUAUCAAACAAAACAAAAGUGCUACAGUACCAAAAUUCUAAAAAAAUAGAUGUAAACAAGGCCUUAGUAUAGCUGUAUGCAUGCUAGCUGCUAUUAUUAUUAGCGGUAUAGUUAUAAGGCUUGUUUAGUUUACCCUAAAAUCCAAAAAAAUUCAAAGACUUUUUAUCAUAUCGGAUCUUGCGGCACAUGCAUAGAGUAUUAAAUAUAGAUAAAAAACUAAUUAUAUAGUUUGUCUGUAAUUUGUAGGAUGAAUCUUUUGAACCUAGUUAGUCCAUGAUUGGACAAUAAUUACCAAAUACAAACGAAAGUGCUACAAUACCCAAAACAAAAAAAUGCCAACUAAACGGGCCAUAUAUGUGCUUUGUUGCUGCUCUCAGCAUAAACUUAUCAAUCUCUAAGCAACAAGAAUUAAUUUCUCGCGAAAGUUAGUGCUGAAUAAAUUGACGAACGGUAAGAUAUCGGUGUAUGGACCUAUUUGACCAAACUAGCUAAUUGUUACUUCCUCUAUUCCAAACUAUAAUAUGUUUUGACUUUUCUAGACAUAGUGAUAUUUAAUACGGAGUAAGUACAUAAAAGAACUAAGUAUAUAAAAUGGACAAAACGUUUUAUGAUUUCAAAUAGAGGGAGUAGCUGUUACCUGGUCAAAUGUUUCCUCUAUUCCAGGUUCCAGCUAAUUAAUAACUUGUAUUAAUUAGCUAAAUAGUGCUAAUUAAUAAUUUUUCAUUAGCUAAAUAACUUAUUUUGAGCUAUUGUUGGACUAUUAGCUAAAGAUGUUUGGAUACACGAGAGCUAAUCUUAGAAGCUACAGUACAAUUAGUUUAUGAGAUUCAAACAGACCAACCCUGUGCUGUGCAUAGGUAGGGUGAGAUGAUUCUUCACGGUUACGGGAAUCUGCUGGUAGGUCGUCGUCCCGUCAUCACGGACGGUGAUAUGCACGACCGGACUAAAAUGGUCAAUUCAGGCCUUGUUCAUUUCGCAAAAUUUUUUGAAUUUCGAUAUUGUAGCAUUUUCGUUUUUAUUUGACAAACAUUGUCCAAUCAUAGAGUAACUAGACUUAAAAGAUUCGUCUCACGAUUUACAGAUGAACUGUGUAAUUAGUUUUUGUUUUCACGUGUAUUUAAUGCACUAUGCAUGUGACGCGAGAUUUGAUUUUAUAGGAAUCUUAAAAACUUUUGGAGAACUAAACAAG